GACGAACGCUGGCGGCGUGCCUAAUACAUGCAAGUUGAGCGCUGAAGGUUGGUACUUGUUCCGACUGGAUGAGCAGCGAACGGGUGAGUAACGCGUGGGUAAUCUGCCUUUGAGCGGGGGACAACAUUUGGAAACGAAUGCUAAUACCGCAUAAAAACUUUAAACACAAGUUUUAAGUUUGAAAGAUGCAAUUGCAUCACUCAAAGAUGAUCCCGCGUUGUAUUAGCUAGUUGGGGAGGUAAAGGCCCACCAAGGCCAUGAUACAUAGCCGACCUGAGAGGGUGAUCGGCCACAUUGGGAAUGGGACACGGCCCAAACCCCUACGGGAGGCAGCAGUAGGGGAUCUUCGGCAAUGGACGAAAGUCUGAACGAGGAACGCCGGGUGAGGGGAGAAGGGUCUCGGAUCGGAAAACUCUGUUGGUAGGGAAGAACGUUGGUGAGAGUGGAAAGCUCAUCAAGUGACGGUAACUACCCAGAAAGGGACGGCUAACUACGUG
This 497-nucleotide ribosomal RNA is filed under the name uncultured bacterium. RNAcentral's name for it is "partial 16S ribosomal RNA". It matches the Rfam family "Bacterial small subunit ribosomal RNA", at positions 28 to 507 of the family's 1533-position model. The record is from RNAcentral.